This 301-nucleotide ribosomal RNA is filed under the name uncultured bacterium. RNAcentral's name for it is "partial 16S ribosomal RNA". It matches the Rfam family "Bacterial small subunit ribosomal RNA", at positions 509 to 807 of the family's 1533-position model. The record is from RNAcentral.
CAGCCGCCGCGGUAAUACGUAGGGUCCGAGCGUUGUCCGGAAUUAUUGGGCGUAAAGGGCUCGUAGGCGGUUUGUCGCGUCGGGAGUGAAAACUCAGGGCUCAACCCUGAGCGUGCUUUCGAUACGGGCAGACUAGAGUGCGGUAGGGGAGAUUGGAAUUCCUGGUGUAGCGGUGGAAUGCGCAGAUAUCAGGAGGAACACCGAUGGCGAAGGCAGAUCUCUGGGCCGUAACUGACGCUGAGGAGCGAAAGCGUGGGGAGCAAACAGGAUUAGAUACCCCAGUAGUCCCUGUCUCUUAUAC